GACGAACGCUGGCGGCGUGCCUAAUACAUGCAAGUAGAACGCUGAAGGAGGAGCUUGCUCUUCUUGGAUGAGUUGCGACCGGGUGAGUAACGCGUAGGUAACCUGCCUGGUAGCGGGGGAUAACUAUUGGAAACGAUAGCUAAUACCGCAUAAUAGUAGAUGUUGCAUGACAUUUGCUUAAAAGGUGCAAUUGCAUCACUACCAGAUGGACCUGCGUUGUAUUAGCUAGUUGGUGAGGUAACGGCUCACCAAGGCAACGAUACAUAGCCGACCUGAGAGGGUGAUCGGCCACACUGGGACUGAGACACGGCCCAGACUCCUACGGGAGGCAGCAGUAGGGAAUCUUCGGCAAUGGACGGAAGUCUGACCGAGCAACGCCGCGUGAGUGAAGAAGGUUGUCGGAUCGUAAAGCUCGGUUGUAAGAGAAGAACGAGUGUGAGAGUGGAAAGUUCACACUGUGACGGUAGCUUACCAGAAAGGGACGGCUAACUACGUG
This 496-nucleotide ribosomal RNA is filed under the name uncultured bacterium. RNAcentral's name for it is "partial 16S ribosomal RNA". It matches the Rfam family "Bacterial small subunit ribosomal RNA", at positions 28 to 507 of the family's 1533-position model. The record is from RNAcentral.